RNAcentral lists this ribosomal RNA (426 nucleotides) under uncultured eukaryote. RNAcentral's name for it is "SSU rRNA". It matches the Rfam family "Eukaryotic small subunit ribosomal RNA", at positions 804 to 1228 of the family's 1831-position model. The record is from RNAcentral.
UUAGCAUGGAAUAAUGGAUAGGACGGUAUGGUUCUAUUUUGUUGGUUUCUAGGACCAUCGUAAUGAUUAAUAGGGACGGUCGGGGGCAUCAGUAUUCAGUUGUCAGAGGUGAAAUUCUUGGAUUUAUUGAAGACUAACUACUGCGAAAGCAUUUACCAAGGACGUUUUCAUUAAUCAAGAACGAAAGUUAGGGGAUCGAAGAUGAUCAGAUACCGUCGUAGUCUUAACCAUCAACUAUGCCGACUAGGGAUCGGGUGGUGGUCAUUUAAUGACCCCCUCGGCACCUUACGAGAAAUCAAAGUUUUUGGGUUCCGGGGGGAGUAUGGUCGCAAGGCUGAAACUUAAAGGAAUUGACGGAAGGGCACCACCAGGAGUGAGCUGCGUCGCUUAAUUUACUCUAACCAAGGGAAACUCACCAGGUCCAGA